Long non-coding RNA from Hyaena hyaena (striped hyena), 697 nucleotides. RefSeq lists it as uncharacterized. The record is from RefSeq and is a predicted model, not a curated record. Lineage: Eukaryota; Metazoa; Chordata; Mammalia; Carnivora; Hyaenidae. The transcript is spliced from 3 exons.
GAAGUGGUCGGAGGAUUUGACAAAUCGCUCAGCAACUGGCUCAUAAUCCUGAGCCUAUCGCUGCGCAUCUUGUGCCAACAUUUCGUUUUUGACCCUUGGACCCUCCCCUAACUCCCAGAAUCCUUUGGAGCAGCCAAGAGGAUAAUAGACGUUCCGGUUUACAGAAGAACUGCACAAGGAACUAUGGACCAAGCAAAAAGGAGCAGAGAGAUGUUCAAUAGCUUCUUUCUCCAAAUGCAGGGCCUUGCUUCUUAAGGACGAGAGAACUUUGGAUUGAUAGCUCCAUCAAAUUGAGAGCUUAUGCCUACUCUCAGCCAGUGCACUUGGCUUCUGCAGCAUCUUCUUCUGCCAGAUAUAUUGUGGAAAUUAUUAUGGUGAUUUUUUCCACUUCAGUGAAGCAGACGUCUGGAUCCUUUGUGAGCCUCUUGAUCUUUAUUCCCUACCACCCCCACCAAUAUGCAACCAAAGUCUUGUUGGCUCAAUGAAUCUUUAUGGUCUCAUUUUAUAGAAUCCCCAAAGAAGAGAAGUAUGGCUGUGGUUUCCAGAAUGUUAAUUGAUAACAGUUCUUGGCAACAGUGCUCUUCCUGGCUUUCGCUCUUUAACCUACUCCUUCCACCCAUAAAAAUAUCAUCAUUCCUGAGUAGAUUGGCACCAGUCUGAAGUUGCCCUCUCUCUCUUUCUCACCUCUCUCUCUCCU